CUCUUUCCUGAGAAAAUACAGACAAAACAGGCGGUGCAGUCAGGAUUUUCCUGUGAAGGGGAGGGGGUACACAGAUAGAUUGGGCUGCAAAGGAGGGUAGAAAAGUGUGGAAAGGAAGUUUUGUCUACAGGUAGCAUGUCUACGUACGGUUUCGUCCUUCACUGAUCUACCCUCCCGAACAAACACCGGGAUUCUCAGAGUGCGAUAAAAGAACAGUGAGCAAACUAAAAA
Long non-coding RNA from Nematostella vectensis (starlet sea anemone), 231 nucleotides. RefSeq lists it as uncharacterized. NCBI's taxonomy places the organism in Eukaryota, Metazoa, Cnidaria, Anthozoa, Actiniaria, Edwardsiidae. The transcript has 2 exons. The record is from RefSeq and is a predicted model, not a curated record.